CUUCGGGUGAAGGUGGCGGACGGGUGAGUAACGCGUAAAGAACUUGCCUUACAGACUGGGACAACAUUUGGAAACGAAUGCUAAUACCGGAUAUUAUGAUUGGGUCGCAUGAUCUGGUUAUGAAAGCUAUAUGCGCUGUGAGAGAGCUUUGCGUCCCAUUAGUUAGUUGGUGAGGUAACGGCUCACCAAGACGAUGAUGGGUAGCCGGCCUGAGAGGGUGAACGGCCACAAGGGGACUGAGACACGGCCCUUACUCCUACGGGAGGCAGCAGUGGGGAAUAUUGGACAAUGGACCAAAAGUCUGAUCCAGCAAUUCUGUGUGCACGAAGAAGUUUUUCGGAAUGUAAAGUGCUUUCGGUUGGGAAGAAGUCAGUGACGGUACCAACAGAAGAAGCGACGGCUAAAUACGUGCCAGCAGCCGCGGUAAUACGUAUGUCGCAAGCGUUAUCCGGAUUUAUUGGGCGUAAAGCGCGUCUAGGCGGCUUAGUAAGUCUGAUGUGAAAAUGCGGGGCUCAACCCCGUAUUGCGUUGGAAACUGCUAAACUAGAGUACUGGAGAGGUAGGCGGAACUACAAGUGUAGAGGUGAAAUUCGUAGAUAUUUGUAGGAAUGCCGAUGGGGAAGCCAGCCUACUGGACAGA
RNAcentral lists this ribosomal RNA (640 nucleotides) under uncultured Fusobacteriota bacterium. Its description in RNAcentral is "bacterial SSU rRNA". It matches the Rfam family "Bacterial small subunit ribosomal RNA", at positions 83 to 737 of the family's 1533-position model. The record is from RNAcentral. Lineage: Bacteria; Fusobacteriati; Fusobacteriota.